AUCCAGCUGACGCGUCCCGAACAGGACGAAACGCGCGUCCUGGAU
Molecule: non-coding RNA, 45 nt
Filed under: Schistosoma mattheei
Lineage: Eukaryota; Metazoa; Platyhelminthes; Trematoda; Strigeidida; Schistosomatidae
Source: RNAcentral